AUAUGGUAGGAGAGCGUUCUGUAAGCCUGCGAAGGUGGCUUGUAAAGGCUGCUGGAGGUAUCAGAAGUGCGAAUGCUGACAUGAGUAGCGAUAAUGGGGGUGAAAAGCCCCCACGCCGUAAGCCCAAGGUUUCCUGUUCAACGUUCAUCGGAGCAGGGUGAGUCGGCCCCUAAGGCGAGGCAGAGAUGCGUAGCUGAUGGGAAGCAGGUUAAUAUUCCUGCACCGUCGUAUGAUGCGAUGGGGGGACGGAUCGCGGAAGGUCGUCAGGCGGUUGGAAGAGCCUGUUCUUAUCUUAUAGAAGGCACUUAGGCAAAUCCGGGUGCGUAAUUCAAGGGGAUGAGACGAGUGAACUUGUUCACGAAGCGAUCAGAAGUGGUUCCAAGAAAAGCCUCUAAGCUUCAGUCAUACGAGACCGUACCGCAAACCGACACAGGUGGGCGAGAUGAGUAUUCUAAGGCGCUUGAGAGAACUCGGGAGAAGGAACUCGGCAAAUUGGUACCGUAACUUCGGGAUAAGGUACGCCCUUGUAGUUUAACCCCCCUGCGGGGGAAGGACGAAAGGGUUGCAAUAAACUGGUGGCUGCAACUGUUUAAUAAAAACACAGCACUCUGCAAACACGAAAGUGGACGUAUAGGGUGUGACUCCUGCCCGGUGCUGGAAGAUUAAAUGAUGGGGUGCAAGCUCUUGAUUGAAGUCCCAGUAAACGGCGGCCGUAACUAUAACGGUCCUAAGGUAGCGAAAUUCCUUGUCGGGUAAGUUCCGACCUGCACGAAUGGAGUAAUGAUGGCCACACUGUCUCCUCCCGAGACUCAGCGAAGUUGAAAUGUUUGUGAUGAUGCAAUCUACCCGCGGCUAGACGGAAAGACCCCAUGAACCUUUACUGUAGCUUUGCAUUGGACUUUGAACCAAUCUGUGUAGGAUAGGUGGGAGGCUUUGAAGCGGGAACGCCAGUUCUUGUGGAGCCAUCCUUGAAAUACCACCCUGGUUUGUUUGAGGUUCUAACCUUGGCCCAUAAUCUGGGUCGGGGACAGUGCAUGGUAGGCAGUUUGACUGGGGCGGUCUCCUCCCAAAGUGUAACGGAGGAGUUCGAAGGUACGCUAGUUACGGUCGGACAUCGUGACGAUAGUGCAAUGGCAUAAGCGUGCUUAACUGCGAGACUGACAAGUCGAGCAGGUACGAAAGUAGGACAUAGUGAUCCGGUGGUUCUGUAUGGAAGGGCCAUCGCUCAACGGAUAAAAGGUACUCUGGGGAUAACAGGCUGAU
RNAcentral lists this ribosomal RNA (1263 nucleotides) under wastewater metagenome. RNAcentral describes it as "bacterial LSU rRNA". It matches the Rfam family "Bacterial large subunit ribosomal RNA", at positions 1223 to 2486 of the family's 2925-position model. The record is from RNAcentral.